UAGAAAGACAAACAAGAGUUAAAAUGGAUGAACACGAAGAAAUUUGAUGAACAUGAGAUGUUUUGAAUGAGAAUAACAAGAGAACACUCAAAGACUUUGCUACUCUUUCACUUUUAGGAGCUUCAUCCAGCAUAGUUCUAUCGAGUGUCAACGCUAAUAACUUCAAGAUUAAACCUACCAUAAUUCAGAUGAUCCAAACCUCAAUUUUACCAAAUGAUAUUAUAAUGUGCAU
Molecule: long non-coding RNA, 232 nt
Filed under: Carica papaya (papaya)
Lineage: Eukaryota; Viridiplantae; Streptophyta; Magnoliopsida; Brassicales; Caricaceae
Description: long non-coding RNA (CPAP_LNC002631)
Source: RNAcentral